CGGCUGCAUUUUACAUAUGCAAUCACUAGGCUGUGAGUAUGAAGAGUUAUUGCCAUGACAACCAGGACUGACUGACUUAUCUUUCAGAAAUGGGAAAGUCUACUGCUUUAUCAUGAGUCUCCAAAUCAUCCAAAUAUAAUUUCUUACCAGAAUUCUUGUGGCUGGGCCUUUCAGAUGUGAAUUCCCCAAUGUGAGAACCUUUAAAUCCUUGCAUUAUGUGGGAUACUAGAAGAAAGUUUUAUUAAUAGAAAUCCAAGAGGAACAAAGGAGAACAGUAGAAAAACUUCAGAGCAGGCAAAGGGAGGAUUAAGGGACGAUAGAUUGCAGACUUGGUUUUGAUUUGCAUUGCUGUUCCAGAGUACAAAAAUACCUUCAAAGACCUAAUAGAAGAGAAAAAGAAGAUAUGCCAAUGGAGUGUUGGUGAGGCGACUUUGCUCUGCUAAGGAGAGCAGCAUCCUAGGAGAGCAACAAAAUGGACAGACUCGUUGAACAUCACAUUCCGUUCAAUCUGGCUUGCUCACCUGCCUCUGAAAGAAAAAGUCCUCGCUGGUGGGAGAAGAUUCUGGUUGCUUCCUGAAGAUGUGUGGGUUUCCAGUGCUAUUCUGCAGCUGAAUGCACAUUGAAGCAACUGCCCUAUUAAAGCCUUACUCCCUUGAGAUUAAUAACAUGUUAAGAACUGGCUCAACACCAAUCCCUGGGGACUACAGUGGAUCCCUUCCUUAUUAUGCGACAGACUGUUAUUUAUCAUUCAUGCCUGUUGUUUGCAUUCCUCUUGACAGUUUGCAAUCUUUGCAGGAGCCAUCCUAUCAAAGUCAGUUUGAGUGGAUUUUUAAAUUAGAGCUUUGGAAGGUACUGUAUUAAAUGUUUUACUGAAAUCUAACA
Molecule: long non-coding RNA, 882 nt
Organism: Canis lupus familiaris (dog)
Lineage: Eukaryota; Metazoa; Chordata; Mammalia; Carnivora; Canidae
Exons: 7
Source: RefSeq, a predicted model, not a curated record